CGCUUUGUAUUUAUUACAAAGAGGAAAGUCCGGGCAACAUAGAGUAUCCGACCUAGUGAAAGCUAGGGUGCUUUAAAAGGAAUUUUAGAGUAACAGCUAGUGCAACAGAAAUAGACUACCGUACUUGUACGGAAAAGAUGAAAAGGUGAGGUAAGAGCUCACCAGCUACAUCAGUAAUUUUGUAGGCUAGGUAAACCUUCGGAGUUGAAAAAUCAAAUAAACCAAGAACUGAGGGUUUCUCGCCCAAUCUUGGAGGGUAGAUUGUUAGAGAGUGGGGGCAACCCCAUUACUAGAUAAAUGAUAGAACACGACAGAAUCUGGCUUAUAGAUUUGC
RNAcentral lists this RNase P RNA (334 nucleotides) under marine eukaryotic metagenome. Its description in RNAcentral is "Bacterial RNase P class A". It matches the Rfam family "Bacterial RNase P class A". From Rfam's summary of the family: Ribonuclease P (RNase P) is a ubiquitous endoribonuclease, found in archaea, bacteria and eukarya as well as chloroplasts and mitochondria. Its best characterised activity is the generation of mature 5'-ends of tRNAs by cleaving the 5'-leader elements of precursor-tRNAs. The record is from RNAcentral.